Molecule: transfer RNA, 76 nt
Filed under: Escherichia phage VpaE1_ev035
Lineage: Duplodnaviria; Heunggongvirae; Uroviricota; Caudoviricetes; Andersonviridae
Description: tRNA-Cys
Source: RNAcentral
UGGAGAAUCCGAAGGGACUUGAACCCUUAUAAACCUGUUUUGCAGACAGGCACAUAUCCAUUUCUGUCACGGAUUC